CCUACGGGUGGCAGCAGUGGGGAAUAUUGGGCAAUGGGCGCAAGCCUUACCCAGCAAUACCGCGUGAGUGAAGAAGGUCUUCGGAUUGUAAAGCUCUUUGAUCAGGGACGAACAGAUGACGGUACCUGACGAACAAGCCCCGGCUAACUACGUGCCAGCAGCCGCGGUAAAACGUAGGGGGCGAGCGUUGUCCGGAAUGACUGGGCGUAAAGGGUGUGUAGGGGGCGUAAAAAGUUAGAAGUGGAAUGCCUAGGGCUUAACCCUGGUACUGCAUCUAAGACUGUUGGGCUUGAGUGCAGGAGAGGUUGAUGGAAUUCCUAGUGUAGCGGUGGAAUGCGUAGAUAUUAGGAGGAACACCAGAGGCGAAGGCGAUUAUCUGGACCGUAACUGACGCUGAGGCACGAAAGUGUGGGUAGCAAACAGGAUUAGAUACCCUUGUAGUC
This 443-nucleotide ribosomal RNA is filed under the name uncultured bacterium. RNAcentral's name for it is "partial 16S ribosomal RNA". It matches the Rfam family "Bacterial small subunit ribosomal RNA", at positions 338 to 795 of the family's 1533-position model. The record is from RNAcentral.